This 253-nucleotide ribosomal RNA is filed under the name uncultured bacterium. RNAcentral describes it as "partial 16S ribosomal RNA". It matches the Rfam family "Bacterial small subunit ribosomal RNA", at positions 524 to 776 of the family's 1533-position model. The record is from RNAcentral.
UACGGAAGGGGCUCGCGUUGUUCGGAAUUACUGGGCGUAAAGAGCGCGUAGGCGGCUUACCAAGUUGGGGGUGAAAUCCCGGAGCUCAACUCCGGAACUGCCUUCAAAACUGGUAGGCUCGAGUCCGGAAGAGGGGCGUGGAAUUCCCGGUGUAGAGGUGAAAUUCGUAGAUAUUGGGAAGAACGCCGGUGGCGAAGGCGGCGCCCUGGUCCGGUACUGACGCUGAGGCGCGAAAGCGUGGGGAGCAAACAGG